RNAcentral lists this ribosomal RNA (253 nucleotides) under uncultured bacterium. RNAcentral's name for it is "partial 16S ribosomal RNA". It matches the Rfam family "Bacterial small subunit ribosomal RNA", at positions 524 to 776 of the family's 1533-position model. The record is from RNAcentral.
UACAGAGGUCCCAAGCGUUGUUCGGAUUCAUUGGGCGUAAAGGGUGCGUAGGCGGCGCGGUAAGUCGGGUGUGAAAUCUCGGGGCUUAACUCCGAAACUGCAUUCGAUACUGCCGUGCUUGAGGACUGGAGAGGAGACUGGAAUUUACGGUGUAGCGGUGAAAUGCGUAGAUAUCGGGAAGAACACCAAAGGCGAAAGCACUCUGCUGGGCCGAAACUGACACUGAUAGACGAAAGCUAGGGGAGCAAAUGGG